This 1340-nucleotide ribosomal RNA is filed under the name uncultured bacterium. RNAcentral describes it as "bacterial SSU rRNA". It matches the Rfam family "Bacterial small subunit ribosomal RNA", at positions 28 to 1381 of the family's 1533-position model. The record is from RNAcentral.
GACGAACGCUGGCGGCGUGCUUAACACAUGCAAGUCGAACGGAAAGGCCCCUUCGGGGGUACUCGAGUGGCGAACGGGUGAGUAACACGUGGGUGAUCUGCCCUGCACUUCGGGAUAAGCCUGGGAAACUGGGUCUAAUACCGGAUAGGACCACGGGAUGCAUGUCCUGUGGUGGAAAGCUUUUGCGGUGUGGGAUGGGCCCGCGGCCUAUCAGCUUGUUGGUGGGGUGACGGCCUACCAAGGCGACGACGGGUAGCCGGCCUGAGAGGGUGUCCGGCCACACUGGGACUGAGAUACGGCCCAGACUCCUACGGGAGGCAGCAGUGGGGAAUAUUGCACAAUGGGCGCAAGCCUGAUGCAGCGACGCCGCGUGGGGGAUGACGGCCUUCGGGUUGUAAACCUCUUUCAGCAGGGACGAAGCGCAAGUGACGGUACCUGCAGAAGAAGCACCGGCCAACUACGUGCCAGCAGCCGCGGUAAUACGUAGGGUGCGAGCGUUGUCCGGAAUUACUGGGCGUAAAGAGCUCGUGGGUGGUUUGUCGCGUUGUUCGUGAAAACCGGGGGCUUAACCCUCGGCGUGCGGGCGAUACGGGCAGACUGGAGUACUGCAGGGGAGACUGGAAUUCCUGGUGUAGCGGUGGAAUGCGCAGAUAUCAGGAGGAACACCGGUGGCGAAGGCGGGUCUCUGGGCAGUAACUGACGCUGAGGAGCGAAAGCGUGGGGAGCGAACAGGAUUAGAUACCCUGGUAGUCCACGCCGUAAACGGUGGGUACUAGGUGUGGGUUUCCUUCCUUGGGAUCCGUGCCGUAGCUAACGCAUUAAGUACCCCGCCUGGGGAGUACGGCCGCAAGGCUAAAACUCAAAGGAAUUGACGGGGGCCCGCACAAGCGGCGGAGCAUGUGGAUUAAUUCGAUGCAACGCGAAGAACCUUACCUGGGUUUGACAUGCACAGGACGCCGGCAGAGAUGUCGGUUCCCUUGUGGCCUGUGUGCAGGUGGUGCAUGGCUGUCGUCAGCUCGUGUCGUGAGAUGUUGGGUUAAGUCCCGCAACGAGCGCAACCCUUGUCUCAUGUUGCCAGCGGGUAAUGCCGGGGACUCGUGAGAGACUGCCGGGGUCAACUCGGAGGAAGGUGGGGAUGACGUCAAGUCAUCAUGCCCCUUAUGUCCAGGGCUUCACACAUGCUACAAUGGCCGGUACAAAGGGCUGCGAUGCCGCGAGGCUUAGCGAAUCCUUUUAAAGCCGGUCUCAGUUCGGAUCGGGGUCUGCAACUCGACCCCGUGAAGUCGGAGUCGCUAGUAAUCGCAGAUCAGCAACGCUGCGGUGAAUACGUUCCCGGGCCU